GAUGAACGCUAGCGGCAGGCCUAAUACAUGCAAGUCAAGGGGAUAGCAAUAUCACCGGCGGACGGGUGCGUAACGCGUACACAACGUGCCCAAGGGCGGAGGAAAGCGGCGGGAAACUGCCGGUAAUACUCCAUGGUGUUGUUGAGUGGCAUCACUUAACAACUAAAGUACAAGCGCCCUUGGAUCGGUGUGCGUUCGAUUAGCUAGUUGGCGGGUAACGCCCACCAAGGCUUCGAUCGAUAGGGGGUNUGAGAGCAUGACCCCCCACACGGUACUNAGACACGGACCCGACUCUACGGGAGGCAGCAGUAAGGAAUAUUGGACAAUGGGCGGGAAGCCU
This 340-nucleotide ribosomal RNA is filed under the name uncultured bacterium. RNAcentral's name for it is "bacterial SSU rRNA". It matches the Rfam family "Bacterial small subunit ribosomal RNA", at positions 28 to 384 of the family's 1533-position model. The record is from RNAcentral.